UCUCUAUUUCACAAUUUAUUUAUUACAUUUCAACCUUUUUCUCUUUUGCUUGUAACAUUUGCAGUACAAUUUAUUCUAUAUGUGCAUCAUUUCCCUAUGUUGUUUAAUGAGAUCCACUAACUUUCGUUUGGAUUGCUGUCCCUUCCCACAAACUAUGUUUCCAUUUAGCUAUUUGGAGACAUGACCUUCGUUCUUUUGGUGCAGGCUCUUAGCAGAUUUGGCAAGAUUUCAACAAAGUAACAAGAGAGUCACACAAGGUUCAUAAUUCAGACCAAUCAAAGAAGGUGCUGAUACCUAGAGUUGGGCUGAGCUGAGCCGUGCGGAGUCCCCCUCAAGCUUCUUCUUCUUCUUCUUCUUCAUCAUUCUCUUCUUCCCGAAGCUCGGAGUCGUUGAACCGAGGGCAGGGUUAGGUUGGUGUUAGCUGACGAAGGUCUGCAGUUGGCAGGUGAAGUUUAUUUCUUUUGAUGUAUUUGGCUACUUUGUUAGCACUGUGCUGGAUGUAUUUUGUUUUUGUACACUCUAACUCUAGUCGGAUUGGGACCAUGUAUAUACAUAUA
Molecule: non-coding RNA, 557 nt
Organism: Cajanus cajan (pigeon pea)
Lineage: Eukaryota; Viridiplantae; Streptophyta; Magnoliopsida; Fabales; Fabaceae
Source: RefSeq, a predicted model, not a curated record